UCUUCCUUCCAUGUCCAGUGCUCUCAGCACUGUCCAUGGAUCCAAACUGCUUCUUAGGUCCUUUUAAGAAUGCCUUGCCCAAUUCCAAGAAAUGGCAGCCUCUCACCAUUUGGGACACCUGUCCCCCCCAUAUUCACUCCCCUGGGGCCUGGGUCUCAGGAACAGAGAUCCUUUGCUGAAGGCAGAGGGCUCCACCACACAGUCCCAGGGCUCCCCAGUCUGAGGGCUCCCCAUCAGUCUCUGCUCCCUCUACUUCUCACAACACUUUGUCACUCCUGGGUUCUGGCCAACCGCCUCCCCCAAGGUGCAGUUUCUACACUACAGGAAGAAAUGGCCAUCCUCAGUUUAGAAUUCUUUGAAUUAGUGGAGAGGGAGCCUUGCCAGUUUAGUAAACACCUGAUGAGACCCAUAUAUCACAACAAAACACAGGAUUCAGAAGCCUGGCCUACCUUGCAUGAAAAGCUGAGAACACAGCCAUUAAUAGAGUGUAACCUAAAAUGAGAACUGUAGAACCAAGACAAGGCAGUGAAGCAACAUAUGCCUGGAUGCUGUUGAUAUUUUUGCCAUAUUGGUUUAAACCUAGGAGGGAGUAUUUUGUCUGCACUCUCAGUAGAUAGCCUAACACCAUGGCAGAGGCACACAGCUGACAAGUGACACAACAGAGCACUGGUGUGAAGUGACACAAGCAGCUGAAAGGCAAGGAGACUUUUCUGUAUGCUUUGCUCAUAUGCUUUCUUUUCAUGUUGCAAGAUCUUAAUUUUAAAAUGUGAUACAUUAUUUGGUUAACAAGGAAUCUAUGAAAAUGGAUUUUGGUUUUUAAGCAAGAUCAAAGAAAAUACCGCCUCCCAGUUCUCUACUUCUGCCUUUUGAGCUGAUUUUGACUGGAUUCCAGUAUCUAAAUUUUGAGCAUGCCUGAGGAGGCUUGUUUUACUGUUCUAGUAGGCCCACAUAUUCUGUGAGGACAUUAAAAUAUAUUCUUUCCACUAAGCAUUACACCAUGUGUUGGGAGGAAAGGGUUAGAACCAGAAGAUUUGGUGAUGAGUGAAUAAAGUCAUCUUGCAGGU
Long non-coding RNA from Passer domesticus (house sparrow), 1064 nucleotides. RefSeq lists it as uncharacterized. Lineage: Eukaryota; Metazoa; Chordata; Aves; Passeriformes; Passeridae. The transcript has 3 exons. The record is from RefSeq and is a predicted model, not a curated record.